Non-coding RNA from Malus domestica (apple), 2318 nucleotides. Lineage: Eukaryota; Viridiplantae; Streptophyta; Magnoliopsida; Rosales; Rosaceae. The record is from RefSeq and is a predicted model, not a curated record.
GAGGGGAGGGGGACAUAACGGCUGACAAAUUGGAGAGAGACGAUGGCUCCCAUUUUUCACUCGGAGACGGCUGGGUGUGGCUGUGGCGAGAGGAGAGGAGGGGGACAGAGGGACUGGAGAGGAUGGGGACAUAGGGAUAGAGCUUCGGCUUCGGCUUGAUGAGAGGGAGAGAGAGCCUGCGGCUUGCAGAAUCACGAUGAUAGAAGAAGAAGCUCAGAAGUCUGAUACGCCAAGUUGGAGAAACCCUAAAAACCAGAGAAGAAGAAGAAGAAGCUCAGAAAUCGGGUGAGGAUGUUGACAAAUCAGCAAGCCCAGUUUCAGGCGACUCUGCAAAACCAACAACCUGACCUCCGACGAACGAUGUUAGAGGAGAUUCGUCAGAUUCGAGCCGAACCGAGGCCGUCGUCGACUGAGAGAACAUCAUCAAUCCCGACUUUUGGAUCGACUCCCUCUACCUCCUCCUUGUCCGCGACUCCUGCUCCGUCUCUCUUCUUGCGAGUUCGCUCGGGUUCUGCUCCCCAGCUAUUUCAAGCACAAAAACUUCUCCAGUUUCAUUCGUCAGCUCAUAUAUACGUAAGCUCUUCGCCUCUUAAUAUUUUGAUUUAGGCAAAUUGUUAAGUUCUUGAAAAAAAUUGAAAGAAUUGUUCAUUUUUGUCCCAAAUUGGUUUGGUUCUGGUUUCGAAACAGAAACAAAAACAUAAACUCCUUCAUCUACGAUUCACUUAUUCCAUUCCAGAUAUUACUCGGAGAAGUUUGAAGGGCCCUGGGACAAGGGGGAUUGCAUUUCAGAGUAGCAGAAAUACAAGGCCACCCUCUCUUUGCUUGUCAUCUUCUUCUUCGUUCUUUUUUCAAUGGCAAAGCUGGACGAUCCAUGGAGCACAUGUUGUUGAGCCUUUUGUUGCUAUUGGUCUGGUCCAAUUCGAAUGAGUUGAUGGAGUACAAUCUUUAGGCCCGUUGGAGGAGCUGAAAAACCAGUCUCGACUCCGCCGACCGAGACAUAUUCCGAGAUAUGCUCCAGCUCAAUAACAAAUCAGACAUCAGCCCAGCAGCUUUUGGUGUGCCUGCGAAUGUUGAUUCGGCGAUGCGUUGACAAUAACAUCAAGAGGGAGAGAUUCAAAAGAUGUUCCCAGUGUAGCUGUUUCACAGUUGAAGAGGAUGUUGAUGCUUUUGCUGCAGAAGUUUCAGCAAGAAUGACGGCGAGAUGCACACAAGGAUCAGGUUAGAGAUCUGCGUUGUUUGACAUUUCUGUGUGAACACUUUUGAGUCUCAAAUAUAUCUCAAAUUUGGGGUAUCGGGUAUGGGCUGCUAAGGCUGAAAGUUCUUUUGGCUCAUACAUUAAAGCGGCACGUGUGCUUUUGGCUCAUUUAUGUACAAAAGUGAAUCUUUGAAUCUGCUUAUUUAUGUUUUGAAAUGAGUGUGUUUGUUCUUACUACUGGAAGUGUUUCAUGUGGAGAUUAAUCUUUGAAUCUGCUUAUUCAUGUUUUGGGAAUGUUAAUCUUUUUAAUUUUUUCUUUCCAGGACGAAAAUAUUUAACAAAAUGAAUUGUGAUUAGAAAGUUAAUUGAAGCUUUGAAAAAUUUCGUGGUAAAAAAGGAUGACAGAUUACUGUUGUUUUUUUUUUCCUUCCUAACCAAAAAUUACCUUUGAUUUUCUUGAUUGUGCAUUUAUUUAAUAUGUGCUAUUAUAAUCGUUCUCAGUAUAAUAGCAGGACCUACUACACGAGCAAGACCAAGUAGCCGACCCUCUACAACAAAAUCAGCCCGCUCGGAAACCCUAGCUUGAAUGUGGUUCCAGAGCUCAACAACUGGGUCUACAAUGGCAACAAAGUCCGAGUCACGGAGCUUCAGCGCAUCAUUCACGACCUCCGAAAGCGGAAACGCUUCUCCCAAGUCCUCCAGAUUUCCAUCUUUCUUUCUUGCCUUGCAAUUUGUGUUAUCCCCUGUUUGGUUGCUCAUACAAUGAAAGAAAAUUGAAAGAAGCAUCAAAGUAAUUAAAUUUUAGUUAAAGAAAGUGAGUGAAAGAGGGAAUUAGGAUUUUUAUUAGUUUAUGUGUUCCUCUCCCUCCAAACCUAAUGGCUUAGCCUUUGAUUUGAUGAAACCCACCUCCAAAACCCUUCCUUGAUCACCAUCUUCAGCAACCCAAUUCGGCGCUUACUCGGAUCAGGACCUCUUGGAGAUUCGGAGCUCCAGCUCUGCCCACAAGUGUGCGAAGGUGACAUGGUCCUGGUCGACGGUUCAGAAGCUCUGGUGAUUCUGACUGAAAAAGAGGUCAAUAACAAGAAGGUGAUGGAAUUCAAUGUUUUGGGUUUGUUAUAGAGGC